Molecule: long non-coding RNA, 244 nt
Organism: Nannospalax galili (Upper Galilee mountains blind mole rat)
Lineage: Eukaryota; Metazoa; Chordata; Mammalia; Rodentia; Spalacidae
Exons: 2
Source: RefSeq, a predicted model, not a curated record
UCUGGGACUGGGCAGAAGCAGCGAGAGCAGCUUCAGCGCCAGCGAGCAGAAGAGUGGCCUCAGCCCAGGGCAAGCUGAGGAGUGCCUGGGUGCAGAAUAACAAGAAGACUUUUGAUCAGCUUCCCAGAGCGUGGAACGAGAACUUCCAGCAUCUCUACCACACCACACACAGUCCAUCCUGUGAGGUGAAAUGUCCUGUCUGAUUAGAGUAAUGAAGACAAGGAAAUAAAUGUUCUCAAUUUAA